RNAcentral lists this long non-coding RNA (214 nucleotides) under Glycine max (soybean). RNAcentral's name for it is "long non-coding RNA (GMAX_LNC002008)". Lineage: Eukaryota; Viridiplantae; Streptophyta; Magnoliopsida; Fabales; Fabaceae. The record is from RNAcentral.
GAAAUAACAGAUGCAUGGUGCAUGACGCAAAAAGAUAGGCUAGGGACAAGCUCUCGACAGCAUAAUCAUCACAACGAGUAGGAUCCUACCAGCUCAGCGAUUCCGUUAGAUGUAAUCUUCGAGAUGCAUGGGUGGGCUAGUUGCGCGCUUGGGUCGUUGCAUCACGUUCACCAUGGUGCGUUGCUGGUUUGCUAUGGUGGUGCGUUGCUAGUCU